This 78-nucleotide transfer RNA is filed under the name Salmo salar (Atlantic salmon). It matches the Rfam family "tRNA", at positions 8 to 63 of the family's 71-position model. Rfam says of the family: Transfer RNA (tRNA) molecules are approximately 80 nucleotides in length. Their secondary structure includes four short double-helical elements and three loops (D, anti-codon, and T loops). Further hydrogen bonds mediate the characteristic L-shaped molecular structure. tRNAs have two regions of fundamental functional importance: the anti-codon, which is responsible for specific mRNA codon recognition, and the 3' end, to which the tRNAs corresponding amino acid is attached (by aminoacyl-tRNA synthetases). tRNAs cope with the degeneracy of the genetic code in two manners: having more than one tRNA (with a specific anti-codon) for a particular amino acid; and 'wobble' base-pairing, i.e. permitting non-standard base-pairing at the 3rd anti-codon position. The record is from Rfam by way of RNAcentral. Lineage: Eukaryota; Metazoa; Chordata; Actinopteri; Salmoniformes; Salmonidae.
UGGCUCAGUUGGUAGAGUAUGGUGUUUGCAACGCCAGCAUGGUGUGUGCAACGCCAGGGUUGUGGGUUCAACUCCCAC